Long non-coding RNA from Frankliniella occidentalis (western flower thrips), 1833 nucleotides. RefSeq lists it as uncharacterized. The transcript has 2 exons. Lineage: Eukaryota; Metazoa; Arthropoda; Insecta; Thysanoptera; Thripidae. The record is from RefSeq and is a predicted model, not a curated record.
GCAGGAAGGAUGCAAUCGGACGCGAUUAGCAGCCCGGAGGACGGAGCUCGCCGCGGCCGCGGCCCAGAGGCCGCCGCUGCAGCGUUAGAGCGUUGCGCCACGUAGGAAUUCGCCGGACACCGUUCGGGCCUUUCCCACCAGGAUUGCUUCGGAAGACCGGGGAGCUGGGGAGCGACCCCGCUUUCUGGUCCCAAAAGGCUCGGGCUCGGCCAUACAAAGCGGGGAUGAAGGAUUUACUGCGAGGGCGGCAGCCGACCUGACUCGACUUGCUCGACUGCAGCAGCGAGCACGCACUGAGGCACUCUGAUGCUGACGUCACGACGAGGAUGGUCGGCCCGCUCACUUCCUCAGGGGGAGGAUGACAUGGGGCGAAAACAAUGUGCAGGGCAGGUGGCGACGGACGCAGGGAAGAGCAGGUCGCCCGCCAAGUCCGCUGCGACGACAGUGUACAUAGUAUCAUCAAGCUCGCCAGCAGGCGCCGAGAGUACACUCGUCCGCCGGAUAGGAGAAAUAGUAUGCAGAAGAGCAGCUCUGCCGCGGUUUUUUUGGGGGGAGAGGGAGAGCUUCCGACCUUGGCAUGUAAAUGCCGAGCGCUCCCCCUCCCGCGCCCCUUCACUCCUUUGGGCCCCUCGCCUCCUCUUCUUGCCUAUUUUAACUAUGUGAACUAGUGCUCGAGCGCGUGGGAAGGCCAUUCCCGCCACCGCCAAGCUGCGCCAGCAGCAAGCCAGCAGACACGCCGCCAGCGCACGGCCCCACCCAAAUUUGAACAUUUGAACACGUUUGUCGUCUUGCGUGUUGAAAUGUUGGGGCAGGGCAGGGCAUGCAUCACAUUGAAAGGAAUGCCAGGCGAGCGCGGAGUGCGGCUAGAGCGGGGAAAAACAGGCAAAUGGGAGGGGGGAGGAGGGGGCAGAGGGGGCAACCCUUCAUUACUCCAACUCCGCCCAUUAUUGUUCUCAUGCCCCCCCCUUCCCCCGCCCCCUUGCAGCCCUCUGGGGUACGGCCACGCCACGUCCUCCUCGCCGCCACGCCACGCCACUGACGGACGACAGUGACCCCUGCAGCGGGUGUCCUGUUACACUAGCAGAGCAUUCACUUGCCGCGCCUCGUUAUCAAAGUCACGAUUACGAUCAGUCGCUAUAUAUGCUAUAUAUACACUGAACGCGACCAGCUCGACCCACUGCCCCUGACGCGCCGCCGCGCCGCAUGACCAGGCCGGGGACCUUCUUGGCCUGAUGCCGUGAGCUAUCGGACGGCAUCGCCUCGCCUUCCUCACCCAGGAAGAUAACGGAGGGACUGCGUGCCUGCGUAUGGCGUGGCGCGUCCUCUCUCCAACGCACCGACAGGCAGCAGAAGAGUGUGACACGGCGAGCCCGCCAGAGGUUUAGAGAGGCCCUGGUAUUUGGCUCGCAUUGGUCAUCACUAAACAAUGCUCGCUCAUGCCAAACACACAACGAGUUGUGAAGCAAAUAUUCUGAAGGAAGUCAUGACUGCUAAAUCUGCUCUGAGAUGUAACGUCGGAACAAGUUUACUGUACAUUCAUUCUGAUCCCUCAGCAUCAUAGUUCGAGUACGCAACUUUGCAACUGUUCUCAAUGUAACAUUUGUGUUUUAGACGGAGGCAUAAAGUCAAACCCAUAAAGUAAUUAGGAUGAGGACGGUCACAUGAGUUUUAGACAUUAGAGGAAAAGUAGGGAUUAAUAACAUUCAAAUGCAUUCAACUGAUAAAAACAAAAAUAUGGGGUCAGAACGGGUAGAACAAUAAUAAUCCUAGUAGAGCAUUCAAUGGAAAAUUGAUGAAUAAAAUAACAGGAAUUAAAAAUUUCAUUGAAACUGA